Molecule: long non-coding RNA, 1613 nt
Filed under: Ananas comosus (pineapple)
Lineage: Eukaryota; Viridiplantae; Streptophyta; Magnoliopsida; Poales; Bromeliaceae
Description: long non-coding RNA (ACOM_LNC012875)
Source: RNAcentral
AGAUUUUUUUUUUUUUUUUUUUAAGAUAUAGGUAACACGUUACCCGUUUCGUUUAUUUCAUUUUAAAAAUAAAUUUAGCUGAAAAUGUGAAUCAACUAGGAUUCGAACUUGGGACCUCGGGUACCAACUAUCGAGUCUUUUGCCACUUGCUUUAAGGACGGUCCGUAUCACAGAUUUUGUUUCCGAACAAAUCAAACAACUAUUUUACAGUAAAAUCAAAUAUCGUAAUUGCAAAAAUGAAAUGUAUUUACCGUUUGGUUCGGGUAUAAACAAGAACUAGCUAUUUCAGGGAUAGGUAUAAGUAUGGGGAUAAGAAAAAUAGCGUUUGGAUACAAAUUAGGUUGUUCCCGGAAAUAAGAAUAAUAUUAGGUAGUUUUAUAUAGAAAAUGAAGGUGUUGUUGGAAAUAACCGAGAACUACAAUUCUCGGAUAAAAAAUUAACGUUUGGAUAUAAAGAGGGGAUAAGGAUCUAUCCCUAUUCCUAUUCCUAUCCCCUAACCAAACGCUGCUAAAAGUAUGUCAAAGUUCACAAGUUGAACUGUGUGAGAAAAAGUACAGAGAUCAACUUACAAUAUUAGAAUAGUACACUAACUGACAAUACACUUUGGCUGCGUUUGGUUCGGGUAUAAGUAAGAACUGCUAGUUCUAGAGAUAGGUACAAGUUCAGAUAUAAGCAGGAACUAGACCAAUUUUGCGUUUGGAUGAAAAUUGGGUUGUUCCUAGGAAUAAGGUAAAUAGUGCUUGGAUGAUUAGAUUGGAACAAGAGGAAUAAACGUUAUAAUUUGAAAUUAAAAUUAUAUUAUGUAAUUAAUUAACAUAAAAAUAUUACUUAAAAAUAAAUAAAAAAUUAAUUAUUAAUAAUUAAUUAUAAAUAAUAAUUAAUAUUAAUAAUUAAUUAUAAAUAAUAAAUUAUUAAUAACGAUUAUCUAAUUAAUAAUAAUUAUUAUUAUUAUUAAUUAUUAAUAAAUAAUAAUAAUUAUUAAUUAUUCUUAUUAAUUAAUUAUAAAUAAUAAAUUAUUAAUAAUAUUGAUUAUCUAAUUAUUAAUAAUAAUUAAUAUUAAUAUUUAUUAAUAAAUAAUAAUAAUAAUUAUUAAUAAUUAAUUAUAAAUAAUAAAUUAAUAAUAACAUCGAUUAUCUAAUUAUUAAGAAUAAUAAUUAUUAAUUAAUUAUUAAUAAAUAAUAAUAUUAAUUAUUAAUUAUUAAUUAUAAAUAAUAUAUUAAUAAUAAUAUCGAUUAUCAUUAAGAAUAAUAAUUAUUAAUAAUUAUUAAUAAAAAAUUAAUAAAUAUUAUUAAUUAUUAAUAAUUAAUUAUAAAUAAUAAAUUAAUAAUAAUUAUUAUCUAAUUAUUAAUAAUUAAUUAUAAAUAAUAAAUUAUUUAAUUAUUUAAUUAUUAAAAUAAUAAAUAAUAAUUUAAAUAUAUUAAUUAGAUUAAUUAAUAAUUUACUGUCAUUAAAAUUAAAUUUAGAUUUUAAUUAAUCUUGUUCUCAUCAAGGAACAAGCUUGUUCCAGGAAACGGGUGGAACAGCAGUUCCAGCCUUAUUCCAGCUAGUUCCAGAUUUCCGGAAACUACUGUUCCCGGGAGCCAAACAUAGCGUUUGGGAAUAAAAGGGGGAAC